GACGAACGCUGGCGGCGUGCUUAACACAUGCAAGUCGAACGGAAAGGCCCUGCUUUUGUGGGGUGCUCGAGUGGCGAACGGGUGAGUAACACGUGAGUAACCUGCCCUUGACUUUGGGAUAUCUUCAGGAAACUGGGGCUAAUACCGGAUAGGAGCUCCUGCUGCAUGGUGGGGGUUGGAAAGUUUCGGCGGUUGGGGAUGGACUCGCGGCUUAUCAGCUUGUUGGUGGGGUAGUGGCUUACCAAGGCUUUGACGGGUAGCCGGCCUGAGAGGGUGACCGGCCACAUUGGGACUGAGAUACGGCCCAGACUCGUACGGGAGGCAGCAGUGGGGAAUAUUGCACAAUGGGCGGAAGCCUGAUGCGGCAACGUCGCGUGCGGGAUGACGGCCUUCGGGUUGUAAACCGCUUUCGCCUGUGACGAAGCGUGAGUGACGGUAAUGGGUAAAGAAGCACCGGCUAACUACGUG
This 468-nucleotide ribosomal RNA is filed under the name uncultured bacterium. RNAcentral describes it as "partial 16S ribosomal RNA". It matches the Rfam family "Bacterial small subunit ribosomal RNA", at positions 28 to 507 of the family's 1533-position model. The record is from RNAcentral.